AAAAUUGAGUUGAUUACUUGUGAUGGGAGUGAACCUGGUUUGGCUUAGAAAGUGUGAGAAGUACUUUGAGAUCUAUAAGGUGCCAAAGGAUCAAAGAGUGGCAAUUGCUGCUCUAUUUUUAAUAGACAAGGCAAAUUCUUGGUUUCAUAAUUGGAGUUAAGGAAAGAAUAAUUUGGUAUAGGAAGAUUUUGAGCGGGAGUUGUGUAUUAGGUUUGGGGAUGACGGAAUGGAAGAUGUAAUAGAGGAAUU
This 249-nucleotide unclassified non-coding RNA is filed under the name Hevea brasiliensis (rubber tree). The record is from RNAcentral. Lineage: Eukaryota; Viridiplantae; Streptophyta; Magnoliopsida; Malpighiales; Euphorbiaceae.